This 1368-nucleotide ribosomal RNA is filed under the name uncultured bacterium. RNAcentral describes it as "bacterial SSU rRNA". It matches the Rfam family "Bacterial small subunit ribosomal RNA", at positions 28 to 1381 of the family's 1533-position model. The record is from RNAcentral.
GACGAACCUUGGCGGCGUGCCUAAUACAUGCAAGUAGAACGCUGAAGAGAGGAGCUUGCUCUUCUUGGAUGAGUUGCGAACGGGUGAGUAACGCGUAGGUAACCUGCCUUGUAGCGGGGGAUAACUAUUGGAAACGAUAGCUAAUACCGCAUAACAAUGGAUGACACAUGUCAUUUAUUUGAAAGGGGCAAUUGCUCCACUACAAGAUGGACUGCGUUGUAUUAGCUAGUAGGUGAGGUAACGGCUCACCUAGGCGACGAUACAUAGCCGACCUGAGAGGGUGAUCGGCCACACUGGGACUGAGACACGGCCCAGACUCCUACGGGAGGCAGCAGUAGGGAAUCUUCGGCAAUGGGGGCAACCCUGACCGAGCAACGCCGCGUGAGUGAAGAAGGUUUUCGGAUCGUAAAGCUCUGUUGUAAGUCAAGAACGAGUGUGAGAGUGGAAAGUUCACACUGUGACGGUAGCUUACCAGAAAGGGACGGCUAACUACGUGCCAGCAGCCGCGGUAAUACGUAGGUCCCGAGCGUUGUCCGGAUUUAUUGGGCGUAAAGCGAGCGCAGGCGGUUUGAUAAGUCUGAAGUUAAAGGCUGUGGCUCAACCAUAGUUCGCUUUGGAAACUGUCAAACUUGAGUGCAGAAGGGGAGAGUGGAAUUCCAUGUGUAGCGGUGAAAUGCGUAGAUAUAUGGAGGAACACCGGUGGCGAAAGCGGCUCUCUGGUCUGUAACUGACGCUGAGGCUCGAAAGCGUGGGGAGCGAACAGGAUUAGAUACCCUGGUAGUCCACGCCGUAAACGAUGAGUGCUAGGUGUUGGAUCCUUUCCGGGAUUCAGUGCCGCAGCUAACGCAUUAAGCACUCCGCCUGGGGAGUACGACCGCAAGGUUGAAACUCAAAGGAAUUGACGGGGGCCCGCACAAGCGGUGGAGCAUGUGGUUUAAUUCGAAGCAACGCGAAGAACCUUACCAGGUCUUGACAUCCCGAUGCUAUUUCUAGAGAUAGAAAGUUACUUCGGUACAUCGGUGACAGGUGGUGCAUGGUUGUCGUCAGCUCGUGUCGUGAGAUGUUGGGUUAAGUCCCGCAACGAGCGCAACCCCUAUUGUUAGUUGCCAUCAUUCAGUUGGGCACUCUAGCGAGACUGCCGGUAAUAAACCGGAGGAAGGUGGGGAUGACGUCAAAUCAUCAUGCCCCUUAUGACCUGGGCUACACACGUGCUACAAUGGUUGGUACAACGAGUUGCGAGUCGGUGACGGCAAGCUAAUCUCUUAAAGCCAAUCUCAGUUCGGAUUGUAGGCUGCAACUCGCCUACAUGAAGUCGGAAUCGCUAGUAAUCGCGGAUCAGCACGCCGCGGUGAAUACGUUCCCGGGCCU